UAUUAUUACUAGUAUUUAGUAUAUGUGGUAAAGGGCUUGGUGGUUGGUACUUGAAGUUUUGAGUUUGAAUCAUAGUUGAUUCACAUUUUCUUUGAUUCAUAUUCCCAGCUAAGUUUAUUUCUAAAAAAAAUAAAUGAAGAGGGUAGCACCAUGCUAUCUUUCUGAGAAAAAACAUUUAGUAACAAUAAUAUUUAUUAUUAUUAAAUAUUAAUUUUUAAUUAAUAUUAUUAUAACAAAAAUUAAUUAUUUUUA
This 252-nucleotide long non-coding RNA is filed under the name Ananas comosus (pineapple). Its description in RNAcentral is "long non-coding RNA (ACOM_LNC017651)". Lineage: Eukaryota; Viridiplantae; Streptophyta; Magnoliopsida; Poales; Bromeliaceae. The record is from RNAcentral.